This 72-nucleotide transfer RNA is filed under the name Rita rita. Its description in RNAcentral is "tRNA-Trp". It matches the Rfam family "tRNA". Rfam says of the family: Transfer RNA (tRNA) molecules are approximately 80 nucleotides in length. The record is from RNAcentral. Lineage: Eukaryota; Metazoa; Chordata; Actinopteri; Siluriformes; Bagridae.
AAAGAUUUAGGAUAGAAUUAAGACCAAAAGCCUUCAAAGCUUUAAGCAGGAGUGAAAAUCUCCUAAUCUUUG